RNAcentral lists this ribosomal RNA (253 nucleotides) under uncultured bacterium. RNAcentral describes it as "partial 16S ribosomal RNA". It matches the Rfam family "Bacterial small subunit ribosomal RNA", at positions 524 to 776 of the family's 1533-position model. The record is from RNAcentral.
GACAGAGGGUGCAAACGUUGUUCGGAAUUACUGGGCCUAAAGCGCACGUAGGUGGUCCGCUAAGUCGCGUGUGAAAUCCCCCGGCUCAACCGGGGAAAUGCGCGUGAUACUGGCGGGCUUGAGAUCGGGAGGGGUGAAUGGAACUCCAGGUGGAGCGGUGAAAUGCGUAGAUAUCUGGAGGAACACCGGUGGCGAAAGCGGUUCACUGGCCCGACACUGACACUGAGGUGCGAAAGCUAGGGUAGCAAACGGG